Molecule: long non-coding RNA, 1330 nt
Filed under: Daucus carota (carrot)
Lineage: Eukaryota; Viridiplantae; Streptophyta; Magnoliopsida; Apiales; Apiaceae
Description: long non-coding RNA (DCAR_LNC006297)
Source: RNAcentral
GUUGCUUGGAGAAUUCUCUCCUUGAAAAAAUAAUUCAAGUAAUAAAUAAAUGAUUGAAUCCGGAUUGGUUGCUUAUAUCCGGAUUGGUUGCUUGGAGAAUUCUCUCCUUGAAAAAAUAAUUCAAGUAAUAAAUAAAUGAUUGAAUCCGGAUUGGUUGCUUAUAUCCGGGUUGGUUGCUUGGAGAAUUCUCUCCUUGAAAAAAUAAUUCAAGUAAUGAAUAAAUGAUUGAAUCCGGAUUGGUUGCUUAUAUCCGGGUUGGUUGCUUGGAGAAUUCUCGGUUUGAAAAUUUAUGAUUGCUUUUUUGGUGAAAAUGUAUAUGUGCAAUAUGGGUAGUAACAGAAUGACACAAAUAGUAUAGACAGACAGUCAACUUACUACUUGGGGGAAUGCUUGAAAUGGCUAUGUGCCAAGAAAAAUAAGAUGCUACCAGACAAAGUGCUUAAUUUACUAGAGACAAAUUUUGUACUUCUUGUGUGUGGGGUUUGCUAACGUGCACACAACAAAAUAGCCAUGGUUGAGAUGGUGUUUUAAAGGUUGGAGUUUGUUGAAGCUUACAGAGAUGAAAUGGGACUCCCUUGUCGGGAGCUUGUUGAUGGAGAUGAGUCCAGUGGCACCGAGACCACAGGACAGAGUAUACACCACCCCUCCUUCUAGCGCCAAAUGAUAACUCCAGAUCCCGUUCCGGCCUUUUCUCCGCCUUGCUCCGUCGUCUUAUUGAAUCCGGAUUGGUUGCUUAUAUCCGGAUUGGUUGCUUGGAGAAUUCUCUCCUUGAAAAAAUAAUUCAAGUAAUGAAUAAAUGAUUGAAUCCGGAUUGGUUGCUCGGAGAAUUCUCAGUUUGAAAGUUUAUGAUUGCUUUUUUGGUGAAAGUGUAUGUGUGCAAUAUGGGUAGUAACAGAAUGACAUAAGUAGUAUAGACAGACAGUCAACUUACUACUUUGGGGAAUGCUUGAAAUGGCUAUGUGCCAAGAAGUAUAAGAUGCUACCAGACAAAGUGCUUAAUUUACUAGAGACAAAUUUUGUCCUUCUUGUGGGUGGGGUUUGCUAACGUGCACACAACAGAAUAGCCAUGGCUAAGAUGGUGUCUUAAAGGUUGGAGUUUGUUGAAGCUUACAGAGAUGAAACGGGACUCCCUUGUCGGGAGCUUGCUGAUGAAGAUGAGUCCAGUGGCACCGUGACCACAGGACGGAGAUACACCAGCCCUCCUUCUAGCGCCAAAUGAUAACGCCAGAUCCCGUUCCGGCCCUUUCUCCGCCUUGCUCCGUCGUCUUGCGGUGUAGCUGCUGGAUGGGUGCCUGCAAAACAACGCCGGAGGGGGGUUUGGACCCCGAGG